GCAACCAGGCUUUCAUACCUUGGGACCCUCACCCAGGGGCUCGUCCAUCCCUGAGUCUGGAGUUACUCUGACGGGGGCCCCGAAGCCCCUUUCCUCCAAGGCAGCCUCAGCGGAGGAGGCCAUUGCCCUCUGGAUAAACAACUUAUUAUAACCGAAAACUCCCAUUCCACUUUCAGCCUCUCCCUUUCCAGUAUGAAUAACCCCAGUGCCUUUCAUCUGACUCGGCACUUCUGUCAGCUCUUCCAACCUGCCGGCACGCCCAUGAUUCCAGGCUUGACCUGGUCUCGUCUCCUGGCGUCGUUCCCUUCCUCCUCUCUCUGCUCUUUGCUGGACUAGCUCAUCUUUCAGGUGUAAACUUAAAGGUUUCGUUCCCUGGGAAGGUGUCCCUCUGGCCCUGCUACACUGGAACUCUGUUCCGGACUUGCCCCUCUCCUGUGAAAGAGAACACCACACUUAUUGCUAUUCGUGUCUAAAUGUCUGUCUUCCCCACUAGGCGGACGUCUCCUGUCUGGUUUGUUUCAGGGAACAUCUCUGUCUUAUCUAGCACGCUUGGCACUUAGACAGGACUCACUGAAUGAAUGUUCCGUUUGUUAAAUUCAAAGGACAUACCUUCUGAUUUCAGGAUGACCAUGAAGUCCCUGACUUCAAAGAACAGCCCCCCGGUCCCCACCCCUCCCACCAACCUGCAGACCAUGUUUACUCAGCCCGAUGGCAGCCUCGCCCCACUGCCUGCUCCGAGGAAGCAUGUGUCUGCAGCCUUGGCUAUCUUCAAAGGGUUUUGUUUGGAUCAGCUGGAAGGACUUCAGCACCUUCAUCAAAUCAGGAUGAACAUUACAUUGUCCAGACUUCACAGCGUGGAAGUUGGUGGCUUUUUGGUGCAGACACAGUGGAGAUAA
RNAcentral lists this long non-coding RNA (896 nucleotides) under Capra hircus (goat). Its description in RNAcentral is "lncRNA (ENSCHIG00010018342.1)". The record is from RNAcentral. Lineage: Eukaryota; Metazoa; Chordata; Mammalia; Artiodactyla; Bovidae.